CGGUCGACGUGUACAGAGAGUUUGUAGUCCUGGCGCGAGACGAACGGCUGGCGGCGUGCCUAACACAUGCAAGUCGAACGAGAAUCUAUGGAAAGAGGCUUCGGCCAAUUGAAGUAGAGGACGAGUGGCGGACGGGUGAGUAACGCGUGAGCAACCUGCCUCGGAGUGGGGGACGAACAGGGGGAAACCUCUGCUAAUACCGCAUAAUGUCAUUGGGUGGCAUCACUUAAUGACCAAAGAUUUAUUGCUCUGAGAUGGGCUCGCGUCUGAUUAGGUAGUUGGUGAGGUAACGGCUCACCAAGCCUACGAUCAGUAGCCGGGUUGAGAGACUGAACGGCCACAUUGGGACUGAGAUACGGCCCAGACUCCUACGGGAGGCAGCAGUGGGGAAUAUUGGGCAAUGGGCGAAAGCCUGACCCAGCAACGCCGCGUGAAGGAAGAAGGCUUUCGGGUUGUAAACUUCUUUUACCAGGGACGAAGGACGUGACGGUACCUGGAGAAAAAGCCCCGGCUAACUACGUG
Molecule: ribosomal RNA, 522 nt
Filed under: uncultured Oscillospiraceae bacterium
Lineage: Bacteria; Bacillati; Bacillota; Clostridia; Eubacteriales; Oscillospiraceae
Description: bacterial SSU rRNA
Rfam family: Bacterial small subunit ribosomal RNA
Source: RNAcentral